RNAcentral lists this transfer RNA (86 nucleotides) under Phycisphaerales bacterium. RNAcentral's name for it is "tRNA-Ile". It matches the Rfam family "tRNA". Rfam says of the family: Transfer RNA (tRNA) molecules are approximately 80 nucleotides in length. Their secondary structure includes four short double-helical elements and three loops (D, anti-codon, and T loops). Further hydrogen bonds mediate the characteristic L-shaped molecular structure. tRNAs have two regions of fundamental functional importance: the anti-codon, which is responsible for specific mRNA codon recognition, and the 3' end, to which the tRNAs corresponding amino acid is attached (by aminoacyl-tRNA synthetases). tRNAs cope with the degeneracy of the genetic code in two manners: having more than one tRNA (with a specific anti-codon) for a particular amino acid; and 'wobble' base-pairing, i.e. permitting non-standard base-pairing at the 3rd anti-codon position. The record is from RNAcentral. Lineage: Bacteria; Pseudomonadati; Planctomycetota; Phycisphaerae; Phycisphaerales.
GCCGAUGCCUGAGUGGCUUAAAGCACCGGAUUAAUAUUCCGGCGUGCUUUCUGAGCACCGUGGGCUCGAAUCCCACUCGCCCCGCU